This 301-nucleotide ribosomal RNA is filed under the name uncultured bacterium. RNAcentral's name for it is "partial 16S ribosomal RNA". It matches the Rfam family "Bacterial small subunit ribosomal RNA", at positions 509 to 807 of the family's 1533-position model. The record is from RNAcentral.
CAGCAGCCGCGGGAAUACGGAGGGUGCAAGCGUUAUCCGGAUUUAUUGGGUUUAAAGGGUCCGUAGGCGGACUUAUAAGUCAGUGGUGAAAGCCUGUCGCUUAACGAUAGAACUGCCAUUGAUACUGUAAGUCUUGAGUAUAUUUGAGGUAGCUGGAAUAAGUAGUGUAGCGGUGAAAUGCAUAGAUAUUACUUAGAACACCAAUUGCGAAGGCAGGUUACCAAGAUAUAACUGACGCUGAGGGACGAAAGCGUGGGUAGCGAACAGGAUUAGAUACCCCUGUAGUCCCUGUCUCUUAUAC